UACCUCAGUUAUGGCUCCCAGCCCUGGGUAGGGGAAACCACUUCUGCAAGGAGACUGGGAUUCCUGUAAGGGGCUACUGGAGUACUAGAGGGUCCUGACUGCACCUGCUCAUAGCUCAUCCGUCAAGAUCCCCGAGGUCCCCACCAUAUGAUGCAGGCAUGUUCCUGAUAUCCCCUGUCUCUUUGAGAGGAGUUUUCCAAAGGAAGAUGGCUGAAAUGCUGCUGGAGCUGCCACAGCUCAAGUAAUGAGUGGGGAGUUUCAGAGAAACAGUCACUCUUCCUUGCCAAGAUUAGUAGAUGGGGUAUUUCAGUGAACAGUACAGGAGGAAGUAACUCCUGAAAUUCAUUUGUGGAAGUCAGAUUGUUAACAGUGCAGUGUUGGCUGGUCAUGUCUCAUUAUUCAAACCUCUGGGCCGAUGACUGCCUUUGGUACUGGAAAAUGCUGUAUGAGGCUUCUCAGCUGUUUCAGAUUUCUGUGCCAGUUGCUUGGCAAGAAAAUCUUUCAAAUCUUUUAAUGCUGACAAGAAGUUCUCUUUACAAUUGGAUUUUUUGCACUAUAAGAUGCUUAUAGUGUUCAUCUUUUCUUCAUCUACAUCAUGAAAAAAAAAAAAGUCUUGAAACUGAUGAGAGAGAAAAAGAGAAAAGCAGAAGAAAAAGAUGGGAGAAACGUAUUUACCUAAGAAAUAGUAGUUUGUUCUGUGGUCAGGAAGUUGGUGCUUUUUAGCUAAAUUAAACUGAAGUUGAUGGCACAAACCAAGCAGAAAGGGAAACCGAAUCUUAGCUGUCUCCCAUUGACUGAUGUUCAUGAGCCAGUUGCUGAUCUGGGAAAUGUGUUCUCUUCUCAGCUUUUGAGCUGUCAUUCCACUCUGGGUCAAUUUGGCUCAUACAGUGCUGCACAGAGUGAUUCUGACACAUCUCCAUUUUUGAAGAAAAACUUUUUUAUUUUAUUUUAUUUAUUAUUUUUUUUUCAACUGUUCACAUAUUUUUCUAUCCAACAACUUUCAUGAAAACUAUUAAUACUACUACGCCAGUCAGCCACAGUAGAAGUGUCUAUCCAUGGUGGAAGAAAGUCAUUGAGAUGUCAACAGGGAUUUAACAAAAUGGAGAAAAUGAUGCAAUUGUGGCUGAAAUCCAGUCUAUAAAAAACUAAUUACAUAUGAAACCAUUACAUAAGGCAGAUUUUUCUGUCCAUUUCCUUUGUGUAUCAAGUCAGUUUGACUUGACUGUAAUAUUACAAGAAGGCUUUUAUCAUACAUGGCAGAGCUCAUUGUAGGGCUGAGAUUAGAAAGUGGUGUUGUAACAGUUCAGUGAAAGUAAUGUGUUAUUGCUCACUAGAGAAUACUGUCAUAAGAAAAAUGUAAAUUCCAGAGGUCACAGUUCCAGCAGGGUCAAAGAAAACCAGUCUUAGCCUGAUCCCUAUUGCCUUUAGCUUAAUAAAAAUUAUGGAGAAUCCUGGAAUAGUUUACCUGCCAAGAGAAGGACUAAAACACAUCUAAAAUACUUGUAGACCACCCCUCUUUUGCCUUUUCUACAAGCAUUCACAUCUGUGCUCUCUGUUUGAGAGGAACAGAUGUGCAGAAUAAUUAAUACAAGCCCAAAACAGUAGGAAACACCCCUUGAUCUUGAUUGGAAACACCAAGUGGAGCAGCAUGAGAAUAUGCAAAAGUGGCUUGCAGAGCAAAAAAAGAACCUCCUUUCAGCUGCCUUCUCCAGCAAAUACUUCCCUCCUCUGAAUUUCUUUCAAGACUGAACUUUUAUCUAAGAAAAGUCUCUUGACCACGUCUGAUCCAGUAAAGCAAAAGAAAGAAAAAAUGAGGUUAAAAAAAAAAGAAAAAUGAAUUCAUGCAACAGCAACUUUCAUUAAGACAUUCCAUCUACAACAAGAACACAAUAUAAACAUGCAAUUAAGCAUUAAUGUUGUGACAAUAUGAUGAUAAAGUAAUGACAUCAAGCCAGAUAAUUCAUUUCAUAGAUCACGGUUUCUGCUCUAAUUAAUUUAUUCCAAAAGCCUAAUAUGAGGAUGAUUUUAUGCAGUCAAACUAUCUAAACACCCACAAAGAGAGGAAAGUUAUGUCGAUAUUUAUGUUCACUUUGGUGGUUUUGUAUUUGCUUAUUCAAUUGUUGCACAAGAGUCUUGCACAGACAGAAUAUUUGUCUAAUAGUGGGUACUAAUACUAGUUUAAAGAUAUGAAAUCUUAAAAGUAUAAGCACAUGGU
This is a long non-coding RNA of Cygnus olor (mute swan), 2215 nucleotides long. RefSeq lists it as uncharacterized. The transcript has 5 exons. Lineage: Eukaryota; Metazoa; Chordata; Aves; Anseriformes; Anatidae. The record is from RefSeq and is a predicted model, not a curated record.